CGCGUAGGCGGCGAUACAAGUCAGAGGUGAAAGCUAUAGGCUCAACCUGUAAAUGGCCUUUGAAACUGUAUUGCUUGAGUAUUGCAGAGGAAAGUGGAAUUCAUGGUGUAGCGGUGAAAUGCGUAGAUAUCAUGGAGAACACCUAUGGCGAAGGCAGCUUUCUGGGCAAAUACUGACGCUGAGGCGCGAAAGCUAGGGUAGCGAACA
Molecule: ribosomal RNA, 207 nt
Filed under: uncultured bacterium
Lineage: Bacteria
Description: partial 16S ribosomal RNA
Rfam family: Bacterial small subunit ribosomal RNA
Source: RNAcentral